GACGAACGCUGGCGGCGUGCUUAACACAUGCAAGUCGAACGGUGAAGCGCCUUCCUUUUUGGUGGGUGUGGAUGAGUGGCGAACGGGUGAGUAACACGUGAGUAACCUGCCCCCUUCUUCUGGAUAACCGCAUGAAAGUGUGGCUAAUACGGGAUAUUCUGGGUCUGUCGCAUGAUGGGUCUGGGAAAGAUAUUGUUUCGGUGGGGGAUGGGCUCGCGGCCUAUCAGCUUGUUGGUGGGGUGAUGGCCUACCAAGGCGGUGACGGGUAGCCGGCCUGAGAGGUGGGAGGCUAACAGGGGGAGUGGGACCCGGCCAGGCCGCAUAGGGGAGGCAGCGGGGGGAAAUAUUGCAAAAGGGGGGCAACCCGGAGCCAGCGCCGCCGGGGGAGGGUGGGGGCCCUUGGGUUGGGAACCCUCUUCCGCAGGGGAGGCGGCCCGGCCUCGUUGGGGGGGGGGUGGCGGGCAGUGGAAAAAGAAGCGCGGGCAAACAACG
Molecule: ribosomal RNA, 492 nt
Filed under: uncultured bacterium
Lineage: Bacteria
Description: partial 16S ribosomal RNA
Rfam family: Bacterial small subunit ribosomal RNA
Source: RNAcentral